AUGGCCAUAUCACGUUGAAACCCCGGUUCUCAUCUCUUCACCGAUGUUAAGCAUUGUUGAGCCUGAUCAGUACCUAGAUGGGUGACCGCUUGGGAAUACCAGGUGCUGUAAG
Molecule: non-coding RNA, 112 nt
Organism: Acanthosepion pharaonis
Lineage: Eukaryota; Metazoa; Mollusca; Cephalopoda; Sepiida; Sepiidae
Source: the annotation of a GenBank genome assembly